UACGUAGGGUGCGAGCGUUGUCCGGAAUUAUUGGGCGUAAAGGGCUCGUAGGCGGUCUGUCACGUCGGGAGUGAAAACUCGGGGCUUAACUCCGAGCCUGCUUCUGAUACGGGCAGACUAGAGGUAUGCAGGGGAGAAUGGAAUUCCUGGUGUAGCGGUGAAAUGCGCAGAUAUCAGGAGGAACACCGGUGGCGAAGGCGGGUCUCUGGGCCGUAACUGACGCUGAGGAGCGAAAGCAUGGGGAGCGAACAGG
This 253-nucleotide ribosomal RNA is filed under the name uncultured bacterium. Its description in RNAcentral is "partial 16S ribosomal RNA". It matches the Rfam family "Bacterial small subunit ribosomal RNA", at positions 524 to 776 of the family's 1533-position model. The record is from RNAcentral.